RNAcentral lists this ribosomal RNA (433 nucleotides) under uncultured bacterium. Its description in RNAcentral is "partial 16S ribosomal RNA". It matches the Rfam family "Bacterial small subunit ribosomal RNA", at positions 29 to 507 of the family's 1533-position model. The record is from RNAcentral.
AACGAACGCUGGCGGCAUGCCUAACACAUGCAAGUCGAACGAGACCUUCGGGUCUAGUGGCGCACGGGUGCGUAACGCGUGGGAACCUGCCCUUAGGUUCGGAAUAACUCCCCGAAAGGGGUGCUAAUACCGGAUAAUGUCUUCGGACCAAAGAUUUAUCGCCUUUGGAUGGGCCCGCGUUGGAUUAGCUAGUUGGUAGGGUAAAAGCCUACCAAGGCGACGAUCCAUAGCUGGUCUGAGAGGAUGAUCAGCCACACUGGGACUGAGACACGGCCCAGACUCCUACGGGAGGCAGCAGAGGGGAAUAUUGGACAAUGGGCGAAGGCCUGAUCCAGCAAUGCCGCGUGAGUGAUGAAGGCCUUAGGGUUGUAAAGCUCUUUUACCCGGGAUGAUAAUGACAGUACCGGGAGAAUAAGCUCCGGCUAACUCCGUG